Molecule: ribosomal RNA, 989 nt
Filed under: Streptococcus agalactiae
Lineage: Bacteria; Bacillati; Bacillota; Bacilli; Lactobacillales; Streptococcaceae
Description: bacterial LSU rRNA
Rfam family: Bacterial large subunit ribosomal RNA
Source: RNAcentral
GAGGUUAAGUUAAUAAGGGCGCACGGUGGAUGCCUUGGCACUAGAAGCCGAAGAAGGACGUGACUAACGACGAAAUGCUUUGGGGAGCUGUAAGUAAGCGCUGAUCCAGAGAUGUCCGAAUGGGGGAACCCACUAGUUAAUGACUAGUAUCCAUAUCUGUUAAGGAUAUGAGAAGGAAGACGCAGUGAACUGAAACAUCUAAGUAGCUGCAGGAAGAGAAAGCAAAAGCGAUUGCCUUAGUAGCGGCGAGCGAAACGGCAGGAGGGCAAACCGAAGUGUUUACACUUCGGGGUUGUAGGACUGCGAUAUAGGAUUAAUCAUUAUAGAAGAAUUACCUGGGAAGGUAAGCCAAAGAGAGUAACAGCCUCGUAUUUAAAAUGAUAGAUUAACCUUAGCAGUAUCCUGAGUACGGCGAGACACGCGAAAUCUCGUCGGAAUCUGGGAGGACCAUCUCCCAACCCUAAAUACUCUCUAGUGACCGAUAGUGAACCAGUACCGUGAGGGAAAGGUGAAAAGCACCCCGGGAGGGGAGUGAAAUAGAACCUGAAACCGUGUGCCUACAACAAGUUCGAGCCCGUUAAUGGGUGAGAGCGUGCCUUUUGUAGAAUGAACCGGCGAGUUACGAUAUGAUGCGAGGUUAAGUUGAAGAGACGGAGCCGUAGGGAAACCGAGUCUUAAUAGGGCGUCAUAGUAUCAUGUUGUAGACCCGAAACCAUGUGACCUACCCAUGAGCAGGUUGAAGGUGAGGUAAAACUCACUGGAGGACCGAACCAGGGCACGUUGAAAAGUGCUUGGAUGACUUGUGGGUAGCGGAGAAAUUCCAAACGAACUUGGAGAUAGCUGGUUCUCUCCGAAAUAGCUUUAGGGCUAGCGUCGAUGUUAAGUCUCUUGGAGGUAGAGCACUGUUUGGGUGAGGGGUCCAUCCCGGAUUACCAAUCUCAGAUAAACUCCGAAUGCCAACGAGAUAUAAUCGGCAGUCAGACUGCGAG